AAUCUGCAGUACAGCAAGCAUUCGGCGCAUGAGAUGUAGGCCUGUCUCCCGUAUCCUUGUGGCAUCUUCAGGGUUCACUGCAGAGAGAAAAGAGUAUAUUUUAAGAAAAGCACACUCACUGGAAUGAAUAAGCUCUCAUUCCAUUAAGGGGAUACUUGUGGUCUGGAUUAGUAAGCACACAAAACUCACUUCACCUACAAAAGGUUAUGACCAUCUGGUCCCUGUUUAGUUGCUCAAACAUUCAGAACUGUGGGUCUCCAUGAAGAUUUCCAUUUACUUUCCAUCAACUCCUAAAAGGUUUACAAUUAUCUGAGGCACAGAUUCCUCCAUGCAUUUGCUGAGCCUUAGCUGUACUUCUGCCCAAUCAUGCUCUCUUCCAUGGAAACAUAAUUCAGUGUUCUGGCACCAUUGAUCAGUAGAAUCCACCAUUAAAACAGUUUGGAAAGUGGGAGUUUCAAAACUUGCUUCCUGUUCAGUUACCUGUCUCAGGAGACACUGAAGUUCCUUCUUAGCGCGGGCUUUAUUACUGUCAGUUGUACUCUUCAAGGACAGAAAGUUAAAAGGAAGUACACCUAUGUUCAUACUUUUAUGAACAAAGAGAUCUGCCUGUUGUCAGAACAAUGUGCAAUUUAGCUCAGUAUUGUCAACACUUCUCACGAUUUCAGACACGAUUCCUUCCUACUCCUAUAAAGAGUUGUCAGGAAUAGGACCUGGGAUCUUUUGCACACAAAUUAAGUGUUCUGCUAUAGAGCUACAGCCCCUCUUGUGAGUUUUGAGGAUGGAAGUGUAAGAGUAUGUGGAUGGCUGGCAGUGGUAAAGAUGCAAACUGAUGUGUGAUAUUGGUGGAGGAAUCAUGUCACCCAGCUACAUUCUGUCUAGAUGAGGACAAUGAGGAGGCAGCAGAAACCUACAUGCUUGUCCUAAGCACUUAUCUGAAGACUCGAAUUGUGCAGCUCAUUCAUCCAGUUGUGGGCAUCUUGCAACAUCAACACACUAAGGAAUGGCUAGAAGUGCUGGUCUUCAAGCACAAGUGCUCCUGCCAAAACUGCAGAGAUCUAAGAGCAAACAGCAGGGGUUUGGGCAGCUGCUCCUGCUUCUCAUGUUCACUCUGAAAGGAGGAGAACACAUCCAUCUCACUUCUUUGGAAAUGAGAGUAAAGAUCCAAAGUAAAAAGACUGCACAACCACAUCAAGUAUUCACCUGCAGCACAAAAAGCAUGUGCAUCCAUGAUCAUGCAUCCAUGUUGCAGCACCCUCCCUUGGCCUGGCAUCUUCCAGAUGUUUUGACUUCAACUCCCAUGAACCCGUCAAUAUAGCCAAUGAUUGAAGAUGAUGGGAGGUGUAGUCUGAAACAUCUGGGGAAUACCUUGAGGAAUCAAACAGCUUAUUGCAGCCUGCAAGUCUUUCCUGAUCCUAUAAUCUGCUGGAACUUUUAGCAGCACAUUUUCUGGGUGAUGUAAGUGAAACAUUUUUCAAAGCAUAAUUUUUGCUGUCAUAUUUGCUAUGGCAAAUUUCCUAUGUCUCAAUAUAUGUUCUUUUAAAAAAUUAGCAACAUAAUGAAUAAAAACAAUGUAACCAA
Long non-coding RNA from Varanus komodoensis (Komodo dragon), 1578 nucleotides. RefSeq lists it as uncharacterized. The transcript is spliced from 2 exons. Lineage: Eukaryota; Metazoa; Chordata; Lepidosauria; Squamata; Varanidae. The record is from RefSeq and is a predicted model, not a curated record.